Molecule: ribosomal RNA, 1168 nt
Filed under: Azomonas sp. SYC69
Lineage: Bacteria; Pseudomonadati; Pseudomonadota; Gammaproteobacteria; Pseudomonadales; Pseudomonadaceae
Description: bacterial SSU rRNA
Rfam family: Bacterial small subunit ribosomal RNA
Source: RNAcentral
AUCCCCAGGCCUCGUCCGCCGUGUUGUGAAAGGAAAGGUUCUCUCGGAGUUUUAAAGGCAACUUUAAUUUGGGGAGGGAAAGGGCCAGUUAAGGGUAAUACACUUCUUGUUUUUGAGCGUUACCGACCAGAAUAAAGCACCCGGCCUAACUUCUGUGCCAAGCAGACCGGCGGUAAUAUCAGAAGGGGGCAAACCGUUAAUUCGGAAUUACUGGGCGUUAAGCCGCGCGUAGGUGGGUUUGUUAAAUUGGAAUGUGAAAGCCCCCGGGUCUACCCUGGGAACUUCAUCCUAAAACUGGCAAGCUAGAGUACGGGUAGAAGGGUGGUGGGAUUUCCUGGUUAGCGGUGAAAUGCGUAGAUAUUGGAAGGGAACUCCCGGGGGCGAAAGCGACCACCUGACGAUGCUGACAUUGAGGUGGGAAAGCGUGGGGAGCAACAGGAUUAGAUUCCCUGGUAGUUCACGCCGUAAACGAUGUCAACUAGCCGUUGGAAUCCUUGAGAUUUUAGUGGCGCAGCUAACGCAUUAAGUUGACCGCCUGGGGAGUACGGCCGCAAGGUUAAAACUCAAAUGAAUUGACGGGGGCCCGCACAAGCGGUGGAGCAUGUGGUUUAAUUUGAAGCAACGCGAAGAACCUUACCAGGCCUUGACAUGCAGAGAACUUUCCAGAGAUGGAUUGGUGCCUUUGGGAACUCUGACACCGGUGGUGCAAGGCUGUUGUCAACUUGUGUCGUGAGAAGUUGGGUUAAGUCCCGUAACGAGCGCCACCCUUUUCCUUAGUUACCAGCACGUUAUGGUGGGCACUCUAAGGAGACUGCCGGUGACAAACCGGAGGAAGGUGGGGAUGACGUCAAGUCAUCAUGGCCCUUACGGCCUGGGCUACACACGUGCUACAAUGGUCGGUACAGAGGGUUGCCAAGCCGCGAGGGGGAGCUAAUCUCACAAAACCGAUCGUAGUCCGGAUCGCAGUCUGCAACUCGACUGCGUGAAGUCGGAAUCGCUAGUAAUCGCGAAUCAGAAUGUCGCGGUGAAUACGUUCCCGGGCCUUGUGCGCACCGCCCGUCACACCAUGGGAGUGGGUUGCCCUUUUCUUUUCUAGUCUAACCUUCGGGAGGACGGUUACCACGGUGUGAUCAUGACUGGGGUAAAGUCGUAACAAAGAACCCCCCCU